GAUGAACGCUGGCGGCGUGCCUAAUACAUGCAAGUCGAGCGAACAGACGAGGAGCUUGCUCCUCUGACGUUAGCGGCGGACGGGUGAGUAACACGUGGAUAACCUACCUAUAAGACUGGGAUAACUUCGGGAAACCGGAGCUAAUACCGGAUAAUAUAUUGAACCGCAUGGUUCAAUAGUGAAAGGCGGUUUUGCUGUCACUUAUAGAUGGAUCCGCGCCGCAUUAGCUAGUUGGUAAGGUAACGGCUUACCAAGGCAACGAUGCGUAGCCGACCUGAGAGGGUGAUCGGCCACACUGGAACUGAGCCACGGUCCAGACUCCUACGGGAGGCAGCAGUAGGGAAUCGUCCGCAAUGGGCGAAAGCCUGACGGAGCAACGCCGCGUGAGUGAUGAAGGUCUUCGGAUCGUAAAACUCUGUUAUUAGGGAAGAACAAAUGUGUAAGUAACUAUGCACGUCUUGACGGUACCUAAUCAGAAAGCCACGGCUAACUACGUG
This 497-nucleotide ribosomal RNA is filed under the name uncultured bacterium. Its description in RNAcentral is "partial 16S ribosomal RNA". It matches the Rfam family "Bacterial small subunit ribosomal RNA", at positions 28 to 507 of the family's 1533-position model. The record is from RNAcentral.